Molecule: long non-coding RNA, 3467 nt
Filed under: Nicotiana tabacum (common tobacco)
Lineage: Eukaryota; Viridiplantae; Streptophyta; Magnoliopsida; Solanales; Solanaceae
Description: long non-coding RNA (NTAB_LNC004354)
Source: RNAcentral
GAAUGUGUACUGAUUAGUGAUUAGCUAGCUUCCUUUCUGAUUUUGAGCAAAUUUCCUAUAUGUGAAAUUUAUAGAAUUCUUGCUUUCUGCAUGGUAAAUUUGCAUUCAUGAAUUUAGUUAAAAGUGAAAAGAAAAAAAAAACAAGAUUGCAUUUUAAUUUCUCCAUCCAAUACAUCUGACAAAGUGAGAAAUUUGAUGAAAGAAUUAACAUAAACUAGCUAGCCCCAACCGUGGGAAAUAUGUGCUAGAAAUUGCAGCUACCAAUGGCGAAGCCAGAAAAUUCAAUUUGAACACCCUUUGUCAUUGGACUAUGCAAGGGUAUUCAAAGUCUAUUUUUUUUAAUCUAAUAUUUUAGUAAGUAUAAUUUUUCGGCGAAGAGCUUAAGUUGAUCACCAUUGGCCACACAUUGCUUCGCCCCCGUGCAGCUACUACAACACGAUUAAUCCACCAAAGUAUUAGCUCUAUGCUUGGUUGAUUUCACACGACAUGUGAUAUUCGUUAUCCAGCCCUGCAAAAGAAGAACAACUAGAACUUGAUAUCCAAAUUUUUAGGAAGAAAAAGAAAGAUUUUUUGUUUGAACUCCCUGUCACACUCCUUUUUUUACAAACUUUACUAAAUCCUCUUAAAAAAUAAUUUUGUAAAGCUCGAAAGGGUUUUUCAAUUUUGAAAGUGACAAAAAUUUGUGUUCAAAAGGAUUAACUCAGAGUCGCCACCUGAUAUUUGAUUUCGGCGUGUCAGGUCACCAUUUUUUCUAGAAAUAUAUUUUUCCCUUUCAAAACACUUGAGACUCUAAAACUAAAUCUGCACCAGAGACUCCCCAAGUCCCGUGAAAAUCACGGUUGCAUAUAUGAUCAAGUUGGCUUUUUAGAAGAUUCGAAUUAAGGUAAAAGACACAGAAAUGGGAAAAUAAACACACAAGAGGCUCGAGGUCGUUCUCACCUAAUAAAAGAAGAAAUAAAAAUGAAAAUAAAAUACUACGAGUUCUACUUUAGGUCUCCAAAUACAAGUACUUCGGGGUAUUCCCCGGAAUAAAAUAUAUGCAAGUCCUUCGGGGCAUUCCCCGGAUAAAUUUAACUAAGGGAACGACCUCUUGCCUCAAAAUUAACAAAAGUCCUAAAGCUUGCCUACCCAAAUGAUAACGCCCUAUGCAUGCUCCUAGCGAAUAAAGUAAAUAAAUAAGGGAAAACUAAAGCAUGUAACAAUUUAAUUAUGUUUGGCUUUUCCCCGUUCCCACGGCCAAUAUUUCAUUCAAGACAAAUACAUUGAACAAGACAUGAUGGGAGAAUCAAGUCGAUACACAUACCAAAAUGAAUGGGAGAGAAUGAAUUAACUAACAAACUAAGACGAAUAAUGAAGUGAAAUGAAACAAUAAAAUAUGAUAAGAGCCACCCAAUUUUCCCUCAACCCCAUCCCAAAAUACGUUAAAAAGGCCACUGAUUCCCAUUCUUCUUAUUACCUAACACUUGAUAAAACUAACUAAGGGGCUAAAACAAGUUCCAACCAUAGCCCCUCAGAAACACGUUAAGCUAACUGGGAAUCAAAGAACCUGCCAAUAAUUUCACCUAUGUGGAUUUAACUCUCUCUAAAUCUUGAUUUCACUUAGCUACAACUACCAUAAAUUUGGGAAAAGACUACUAGGGAGCAUUCUGCAUUAGACUUAGUUAACAUGGAAAGCUUAAUGACAAGUGAACCUUCACCAUAAUGAUGCAAUUCAUAAGCACAACUAUGCGCUUCCCUCCACAAGUAGUAGGAAAAUUAUUAGAAUAAGGAGAGGUUCAUGGCUAAAUCAAUCUGCAUAUCUCCUGCUUAAUAAGGUGAGUCAUUCAGGGAGUCAUCACCUAGACAGAUGCCAUUUGCCCUCCUUAAAACAAGAAUAACAGGAAUGAGCACCUCUUGCAAACCCGACAAGAAAGAAAAGAAUUUCACCAUGACACCUAAACUAGAUUAAUUUACUACUCCGACAGUCCAGGAUCUGGACUGAAAUUGCUAAUUCACGAUAUGACUCAAAUUUAGCAAAAUCUCGUGACCGCUUCAAAACAUUAAACUGAAUUAUCCUAAAUAACAACAAGAAAGAAACAUCGACGAAUAACUCCAGAAGUCAUGUAACGCUUAAACAUCAACAAGACCGAUAAGAAUGAUCAGACGCAUGCCAAGAGAGACUCGAUCAAACUAACCUUAAGCAAGGACUCUCAACGAAUUUCAGAAAUUGAGUAAAUGAACUAAUUUAACCAACAAGCAAAACUGCUUAACAGAUGUUUCUAUUACUCUGCUUUAUACUCAAAACCAAGAAAAGCUACGAAUAUUCAUACGCAAACACACUGCUGAACUGAAAUUUAGCUUAACAGCUUCAUAGUCAAUCGAACGAGUUCUGACAAAUACGAGACAUUAUUCUGCCAUUUCAGAUAAUCACAAAACCAAGUUACAUUUCAAUCAAAUGCUUCAAUACCAAACAAAUUCGGGAUUGUCGACAUUUAAACAUAAAACAAACAGGACAGAAUUGCAUGCCUAGAGAAGUCAUCCAGACUCAUCAUCAAUCAGAACACAACAAUAUGUUUCUAUUAGCACUCGAACUUAAACAUCUAAGAAAUUCAAACUACUUCUGAUUGCUUAUCCUAGGCUCUCAUCAUAUUUUCAAUAAAACACCAAAGAUAGAUUAAGAAAAGAGAAGGAGAUUGAACCUGUUUGAUCGAGGCUUUGAUUAAUUUCGUUUGUAAGCGAUUACAAGUUAAACUUCCCGAUGAAGUUUUGAAAUGAAGAAGCGACACGGCAGCAGGUAGACAGGAACCGAAUCAGCGACCAAAACUCGAACGACAAACUCGAUUUCGGCUCAAUUAAUUUCCAUGUCGAAAGAGCAAAAUCGAAAAAUGUGGAAUCCAAAAUUGAAGGAAGAAAGCCGAAAAUCAAAGAGCACUAAACUAAACAUUUUUUUUGUGUUUUCUGAUUUUUUAAAAUGAAAAACAGAUCUCUAACCAAAAUGUUCUAACUCUUUUUUGAUUGUAUUACUCUACUUAACGGAAAAUAGAAAUAUGAGAAGAAUCACCCCUAGAACUCUAGAACACUCUUUUUUCCAAAUUUUUCUCUGAUUUUCUCCCGUAUCCUCUUUUUCUGCCCGAAAAAUCUCCUUUUAUAUUCCAACCCAGAAGCUUCUAACCUCUUCUCCAAGAAAACCGAUUUUUCUCCAAAAUCUGAAAAAAUCCCUAAAAAUCCGAAAGCCUUUUUCGUGUAAACGGGUUUUAGGCAAAUGGAUGCUUAGGAUCCAAAGAUCUCGAUCCUAUGGCUCCCAUUUAACUAUCAUCCAUUUAUGAAUGGCUCGGAUUCUUCAAAGAAAUUGAGAAGAGCACGUGAAAUGAGAAGAAAACGCGUUAAAAUCAGAUGUUAAUGAUGAGGGGGGACCAUGUGAGUUAACUCGCCAGGUUGGCGAGUUUUUCCGAAAGGACGCGGCAGAGGAGUGUAAGAGAGGGCUGGGC